Molecule: ribosomal RNA, 489 nt
Filed under: Escherichia coli
Lineage: Bacteria; Pseudomonadati; Pseudomonadota; Gammaproteobacteria; Enterobacterales; Enterobacteriaceae
Description: partial 23S ribosomal RNA
Rfam family: Bacterial large subunit ribosomal RNA
Source: RNAcentral
GAACUGAAACAUCUAAGUACCCCGAGGAAAAGAAAUCAACCGAGAUUCCCCCAGUAGCGGCGAGCGAACGGGGAGCAGCCCAGAGCCUGAAUCAGUGUGUGUGUUAGUGGAAGCGUCUGGAAAGGCGUGCGAUACAGGGUGACAGCCCCGUACACAAAAAUGCACAUGCUGUGAGCUCGAUGAGUAGGGCGGGACACGUGGUAUCCUGUCUGAAUAUGGGGGGACCAUCCUCCAAGGCUAAAUACUCCUGACUGACCGAUAGUGAACCAGUACCGUGAGGGAAAGGCGAAAAGAACCCCGGCGAGGGGAGUGAAAAAGAACCUGAAACCGUGUACGUACAAGCAGUGGGAGCACGCUUAGGCGUGUGACUGCGUACCUUUUGUAUAAUGGGUCAGCGACUUAUAUUCUGUAGCAAGGUUAACCGAAUAGGGGAGCCGAAGGGAAACCGAGUCUUAACUGGGCGUUAAGUUGCAGGGUAUAGACCCGAAA